UUUAGGUGCCUGCUAAUUUAUAAAAUGGGAUUUUCUUGAAGGAAAGCAAAAAUAGAGAUUUCCCAAACUGUUGAAAAUUUGCCAGCAGACAGAGAGGAAUUUUCCUAUAUUUUUCACCCUAGGUCUACCUCUGUCCCUUUUUUGGGUAAAGUGACGGUGUAGACUUUCGCCUGAAGCAAAGCGGGCUUGUCACUCACUGCUUCUGUUUCUUCCUGGGCAUCAGGCUGCAAUUCUCAAACUUCUAAACAAGUCACACCUCCUCCAAAAUGUAGUCCCAAGAAGGAAAGAAUUAAGGAUUCUGCAGUCCCUGUCUUCUUCUUCUUUUUUUUUGCCAGAAAAUCAUCUUCAGGUGAACAAACGCAGAAGGUGGAGCAAAAGCCUUGGACCUUGUGAUGAGGAGGCUUUUUGGAGAUGUGACUCUGUAGAAGCAGGCAUCUUGCAGUGUCAGGGGUUUAAAUUAAAGCCGGGUCGGGGAGGGAAAAGGGGAGAGACCAUCCCCGCGCCUGCAGCGUUGACUCCUGGCAUCAUUUCGGUGCAGGGACCCAGCUGACACUUCUUAUUUUGGGUCCUGCCUCCCCAGCAGCAGUCUGCAACUUGCCGGCAUCCUGGCAGGACAGCAGCCGGCAGCCGCUGAGCAGAGGAGAGAGAGAGUCAGCGGUUUCUCUGCUGUGCCCAUUCUCAGCAGAUCUGGUUAAGGAUCAGAAGCUACCUGUCCUCUUAUGCAUGCGAACUUUAGCCCCACACAUGAAAGAUACUUUGAAGUCAUCUGAUGGCAGCCCAAGCUCAGAGACAAGGAUCGUGAAGCCGAGAGGUUAACUGACUUGCCCAAAGGAGACAGGAAGCACAAGGGCACGUCUGUGAGUCCCUGGGAUGUGUUUCAACCAGCACGUCAAACAAGGACAAAGUCAUCAGUGCUGGACCCAUCGAGCACCCUGACUCCAGUGAAACAGGACAAGGUCUCCCAGGCAACCUUGGAAGCUCCGAGGGACUCCAGGUCACUAAGAAGCCUCCGCUUAGCACUUGUGCUCAGCCUAGUGGCCUGAGCACCACAUUCGGUUGCAUCUGCCCAUCUCUAUCUUCCCCUCUGGAUGUCUGUACUAAUAGAUUCUGUUGGGGACACCAGUGCCCACGGGUCUCUGGAAGGUACACGCACUCUCAGGCAUCUCCUGGGGACUGCAAUGCCUUAACUCGAAGGAGAAGUCCCUCCCAGCAAAGUCCCUUUUUGGAGAGAAGGCUGGUGAAGGAGACUGGAACAGCCUGCCAGGCACCUGCAGGCCACCUCCCUGCACACCUGGUGCUGGAAUUGCAUUGGUUUUCACAACUGCUUUGCUUCUUGGCUUCCCCAGCUCCCUGGAGGCCCAAAGCAGCUGCUCUCCCAAGGCGUUCCUACCAAGGAAGGAGACCCAGCUCCAGCAAAGAUGUCCUGUGAGUGCCCUUUAUCUCUUCCAGAUGCUUGCUACACAUGAUUUUCUGAAGGCUGUGCUAAGCAUUCUUUCUAUUUAUAGAAAGAUAGAGGUGAUGCUAACCUGACAAACUAAGGGGAAAGGGGUGAUGGCUGCAAAUACAGAAGUUGGUAGCAUCCGCCCAAAGGGUUGAGGACGGGUGUUGGUGUGGCCGGCCAGAGAAGGGGUUCCAGUAAGUACAGGGGCCUGAGGCAUCACUCAUAAGCGUCAUCCCCAUGGUCCUAUGUUGGAAUGUCUAUAUAUUCUAGGAUCUGGGAGGCUUUCCAGCUCUCUCGUUGACCUCAGCAUUCCUUUGGGGGUAGACUUACUUUAGGUGGGUGGCUCAUUCCACCAAUUACUGUAUCUCUUUAACAUCUGUCCCAUUUCGUGGGGGUCCUAACCUGUCCUUGGCAUUUUUUUCUUUUUUCUGGCCAUGCUUCGCAGCAUGUGGGAUCUUAGUUCCCCAAUCAGGGAACAAAUCCACGCCCUUUAAAUUGGAAGCACAGAAUCUUAACCCCUGGACCUCCAGGGAAGCCCCAUGUCCUUGGCAUUUCUGUAACAUUCCCCACUCAACAACCUCAAAGCCCAGGCAUGGAACUGUGUUCAACCAACCCUCCAAGGAUGACCCUCUCUUCUAUAGGACAAGCCACUUUUCCUUCUGGCAUGGGUUGACUUUUCUUUUUCUUCUUCUUCUUCUUUUUUUUUUUGUUUUCCUUUCUAAUCAAUAGAAUAAGGCAGUUAUCUACAUCAGAAAUAAAAUGCUUCUGGGAAUUCCA
This 2218-nucleotide long non-coding RNA is filed under the name Bos indicus x Bos taurus (hybrid cattle). RNAcentral's name for it is "lncRNA (ENSBIXG00000019416.1)". Lineage: Eukaryota; Metazoa; Chordata; Mammalia; Artiodactyla; Bovidae. The record is from RNAcentral.